RNAcentral lists this ribosomal RNA (608 nucleotides) under uncultured bacterium. RNAcentral's name for it is "bacterial SSU rRNA". It matches the Rfam family "Bacterial small subunit ribosomal RNA", at positions 338 to 948 of the family's 1533-position model. The record is from RNAcentral.
CCUACGGGAGGCAGCAGUAAGGAAUAUUGGUCAAUGGACGAAAGUCUGAACCAGCCAUGCCGCGUGAAGGAUUAAGGCCCUCUGGGUUGUAAACUUCUUUUAUCUGGGACGAAAAAAGGGUAUUCUUACUCACUUGACGGUACCAGAGGAAUAAGCACCGGCUAACUCCGUGCCAGCAGCCGCGGUAAUACGGAGGGUGCAAGCGUUAUCCGGAUUUACUGGGUUUAAAGGGUGCGUAGGUGGGCUUGUAAGUCAGUGGUGAAAUCUCCGGGCUUAACCCGGAAACUGCCAUUGAUACUAUAGGUCUUGAAUUAUCUGGAGGUAAGCGGAAUAUGUCAUGUAGCGGUGAAAUGCUUAGAUAUGACAUAGAACACCAAUUGCGAAGGCAGCUUACUACGGAUAUAUUGACACUGAGGCACGAAAGCGUGGGGAUCAAACAGGAUUAGAUACCCUGGUAGUCCACGCCCUAAACGAUGGAUACUCGACAUCAGCGAUACACUGUUGGUGUCUGAGCGAAAGCAUAAGUAUCCACCUGGAAGUACGAUCGCAAGAUUGAAACUCAAAGGAAAUUGACGGCUGAGAGNGCGAGACGACGACGAGGGAGGAGG